RNAcentral lists this ribosomal RNA (516 nucleotides) under uncultured bacterium. RNAcentral describes it as "bacterial SSU rRNA". It matches the Rfam family "Bacterial small subunit ribosomal RNA", at positions 355 to 896 of the family's 1533-position model. The record is from RNAcentral.
UGGGGAAUAUUGCACAAUGGAGGGAACUCUGAUGCAGCGACGCCGCGUGAACGAAGAAGGCUUUCGAGUCGUAAAGUUCUUUUAUAUGGGAAGAUAAUGACGGUACCAUAAGAAAAAGCCCCGGCUAACUACGUGCCAGCAGCCGCGGUAAUACGUAGGGGGCUAGCGUUGUCCGGAAUCACUGGGCGUAAAGGGUUCGCAGGCGGAAAUGCAAGUCAGAUGUAAAAGGCAGUAGCUUAACUACUGUAAGCAUUUGAAACUGCAUAUCUUGAGAAGAGUAGAGGUAAGUGGAAUUUUUAGUGUAGCGGUGAAAUGCGUAGAUAUUAAAAAGAAUACCGGUGGCGAAGGCGACUUACUGGGCUCAUUCUGACGCUGAGGAACGAAAGCGUGGGUAGCAAACAGGAUUAGAUACCCUGGUAGUCCACGCUGUAAACGAUGAGUGCUAGGUGUCGGCGAAUGUCGGUGCCGCAGUUAACACAAUAAGCACUCCGCCUGGGGAGUACGUGCGCAAGCAUG